GAAACUGCCCAGACACCUACGGGUGGCUGCAGUCGAGAAUCUUUGGCAAUGGACGCAAGUCUGACCAAGCGACGCCGCGUGUGGGAUGAAGGCCCUUGGGUUGUAAACCGCUGUCAGGGGGGAGGAAAGCUUCGGCUUGACCGAGCCCCAGAGGAAGCACGGGCUAAGUACGUGCCAGCAGCCGCGGUAACACGUACUGUGCGAACGUUA
Molecule: ribosomal RNA, 210 nt
Filed under: uncultured bacterium
Lineage: Bacteria
Description: partial 16S ribosomal RNA
Rfam family: Bacterial small subunit ribosomal RNA
Source: RNAcentral